Engraulis encrasicolus (European anchovy) is the source of this 3732-nucleotide RNA transcript. It is a transcript of the gene named G protein-coupled receptor 171, with no coding region annotated. NCBI's taxonomy places the organism in Eukaryota, Metazoa, Chordata, Actinopteri, Clupeiformes, Engraulidae. The record is from RefSeq and is a predicted model, not a curated record. The transcript has 7 exons.
CGCACGCCCAUGCACAGACACUCAACGCACACAUACUCCCUGUUGCCUCUCUGUCUGUAAAUGGAUAGCUGGCUGACAUGAACGUGUUUCUUCAUAUAUGCAGGUCAUUUUAAGGACUCAAUUUGACUCUGACAGCUGUAUACAAAGGAGAGUAUUAAGGGACAAGAAUGAACAACUCACACGCUCAAGUGUUGCUGACCUCCACCACCACUGCCAUGUCCCUCCGUCCCGGUCUGAACGUCAGCCCAGCUCCGGUGGAGGUGGCCAUGGAGCCGCACUGCAACAGCUCCGGGGCCCAGGUCCUGGCCUACCCCGUCUUCAUCUCCGGCUACGCAAUCGUCUUCCUCGUCAGCCUCGUGCUCAACGGCUUCACACUCAAGGUGUACUUCUGCCAGGGCAAGAGGGGCGCCGCCACCUCGGUCACGGUCUACCUGCAGAACCUGGCGAUCGCUGACCUGAUCCUGAGCCUGUGCCUGCCGCUGCGCAUCGCCAACUAUCUGGUGGGCACGGCCGCCAUGCGCCAGCUCUACUGCAGCUUCGGGGCCUCGGCAUUCUACCUCAACAUGUAUGCCAGCAUCCUCUUCAUGGAGUACAUCGCAGCCAACAGGUACCUGAAGAUCGUCCGUCCUCUGGAGACCCACCCCCUGCAGACCCCUCGUGCCGCCCGCAUGAUAUCCAUCGUCACCUGGACGCUGCUGGGCGGCUCGUCCUUCGCCUACAUGGUGGUGUCCUUCAUCUCCUCCCCAAUGGACAGCGCCACCUCUCUCCCCCCACACAGCGUGGGCUGCGAGUCCCUACACAGCAAGAGCGUCAGCCGGCUCUACAAGGCCGUGCACACCGCCUCAGCGGCCAUCUUCUUUUUCGUCCUCAUCUCCCUCAUCUUCCUCUACCACGGCACCAGGCAGCGGCUGCGCCAGGCACAGAAGAUCCGACAGGUCCACACACGCGGCGGUGCCCAGUCCUGCCAGAAACUGGAGAGGUCCAAGCGCAACAUGCUGGUUCUGGUGAGCGUGUUCUGCGUGUGCUUCGUGCCGUACCACCUGGUGCGGCUGCCCUACGCCUUCCUGAAGCAGCGGCUCACCUGCUUUGCCUGGGCGCACGCCUUCUACACACUGAAGGAGGCCACCGUGCUGCUGUCCGUCUGCAACGCCUGCCUGGACCCCCUCAUCUACUUCAUCUUCUGCAAGGCCUUCAGGCAACAGUUGGGCCUGAGGAAGACGCCUCCUUCUCCACCACAGGAGCUGGCGUCGGCCAUGACGGAGGUGCGGAGACUGUCCAUGAAGAGGGAGAGCCUGAAGCCUCUGAACGGGCUCCUCAUCACACCCGUCACGCUUCCUGACGAAUUACCUUGACCUUGACCCUUGACCUUGACAUUUCUCCUCACGCUGCUGUUUUUUAGGCUGUGCUUUGCCUGCCUCGCAAGAGCCUCAUGCUUGUACACGCACGCAAGUCUUUUUUUUCACACCUAUUUAAAUGUACAUACAUUGCUACAGUGACUCUAUAUAUUGGAUAAUAGAAUACCAUGUGCGUGUGUGUGACAAAAGUACUGAACGAUCGACUGUGAUGGCACAGUCCCUGCUUGUUCUGGAACAAGAACGUGCUGUACCCAUUGAACUGUGUUGAGGAUGGCAUGACAACUGUGACCAUGGCGGAACUGAAAAGACACCUGGGCACCUGUUUCCCCUGGUUGCACAUGCAAACAGCUUGAUGCACAAGUAAAGCCUCUUUUGUGGAAGUCCAUUUUGAACAAAAAAAACGAAUUGAGGACAAGCAAGGCACCACAAUGUAUGCACACAAACACACACACACACACACACACACACACACACACACACACACAAACACACACACACACACUACUGAAGGUAUUUAUUGUCGACUUGUAUGAAUAUAUCACCUCAAUAUCAGUUUGCCCACAGUAUGUCUUGUCCAGUUUGAAUACUGUCAAAUAAUCUUUAAAAGCUAUCACUGCAACGUAGGAAGCAUUUCCACUGUGGUAGCCUCUACUUUCAUACAUCCUUGUCUUAGUCAAAAAUAUGCAUGGAGUAUAUUAGCGCAACUGACCUUCUAUGGGGCCGUGUAGGUAAUAGAUUAGGAGGGCUGUCUUCUACACAGACUGCAAUGUAUUUUUAGGUUGUAUGUAAUGUAGAUCAUGAUGAUAUUGAACUUCGCAGAAAAGUCAGGUGGGGGGGAUUUAGAUACAGUUUCAUCUCUUCCUGUUAAAGCCCCCACAAGGAUGAGAUAUGACCUAAAAAAAAGCCCCACGCCAUCAAAUGUUUGUCACAGGAAGGCCACUGAGUCUGAUGAGGCUUGUGAUAAUCCUGAGGACAUCAUAAGCACAGUGAUGUAUUAGUGACAGUUUCGGUGAGUGACAGAGGAUUUUUUGACACCUUCAGUUUUAUAUUUCACCGCAGACACAACCACAAAGUGAAGCACUGAGUUCCACCAAUUCCCGUCUCAGGCCUAAUGACUGAAUCAUCACAACCUCAGUUUUCGUUCACACUUUUUAUACAGUAUUUCCUAGAAAAAAAUGAAACUUUCAGCUAUGUGCUUUGGCUAUACUUCAGACUACACACAGGCAGCUCAAGCAUUGAAAAUCUAGUCCACGAAAACAGGAACUGACAUAGACGGCCCACCAGCCACAGAGGUGACAACUGGGUGGUGUGUUUGUUUGUGGUGGCUUGUCUCGACACAGGAUCUGGAAACUUCGGGUUUCUUUCACGACACGUGACGUCACAGCACUGCAACACAAAGUCGAGGAGGGCCUGUGUGACUUUCUCUCUCUCUCUCUCAAUCUCUCUCUCUGAAUCUCUCUCUCUCUCUAUCUCUCUCUCUGAAGCUGUCUCUUCCUCUUUCUAACAAUCUCUCUUACUCUCUGUCUACCUCUUACUCACUCUUCCUCUCACACGCCUUGCCUUCGCUGUCUCUCCUUUUUUCUCUUUCUCUUGUUCUUUUCCUUGUAACUUCUGUUCAUCAGUCUGCAGUGUGCAAGCUAUGGCGGAGGGCAGGUCUUGAAGAUUGACAUCGAGCAGUUUCAGCUACAGGCUCCUGUGCUCUCAGUGCCUUCAGUAGCCUAGCGGUCACAUGAUGCACAUGAUGGCCCUCACGUCAGCCAGACGUCUGUGGCCACACUGCUAAUAAAGACGACAGACACAACUGCAAACAGAAGAUGUGGGCUGAGAGUGACUCAUCUUCUAACAGUCUCCAGUGCAAAAUAGAAGAGAAAAAAGAAGCCAAGAAAGCAGCAUUAACCAUCUCACCACUUCCUGUUGAGCUACAGUAGUGUGAUGCGUGUGAUGUCUGAUGCGUGAGUGUGUGGAGGGCCCCAGUGACGUGAUCAGACCCACACCCGCCCGCCGGAGUCUAGUCAUCCAGUCACCCAGUCAUCCACCCAGGGUCUGAGGUACAGUGGCAUGUGUCUUUUCCAACCAUGUGGGCAAUUUGAAAGUAAAAAUAAAAGAGGUCAUUGCACUUUGAUGAAGGAUAAUAUGCAUUACAUUUUGCUACCGCUUUUUAUCCAGAACGACUUAUAAUCAUUACAGCAAUGUGAGGUUAAGUGCUGUGAACUUUGAACUUGUAACCCUCUGAUCCAUUAGGCCCACUCCCUAACCAGUAAGCCAUGGCUGCCCAAUGGGACCAAACAUUUUGCUAAUAAACCCACAUUUGGGAGCAUGUAUCACCAUGCAUACCUUUAUUAUUCCUUUUCAGUUUAUUUUUUGUUGGUCCAGCACC